This 402-nucleotide ribosomal RNA is filed under the name uncultured bacterium. RNAcentral describes it as "bacterial SSU rRNA". It matches the Rfam family "Bacterial small subunit ribosomal RNA", at positions 362 to 758 of the family's 1533-position model. The record is from RNAcentral.
UAUUGGACAAUGGGCGCAAGCCUGAUCCAGCAAUACCGCGUGUGUGAAGAAGGCCUUAGGGUUGUAAAGCACUUUCAAUUGGGAGGAAAAUCUGCCGGUCAAUACCCGGUAGCUUGACAUUACCUUUAGAAGAAGCACCGGCUAACUCCGUGCCAGCAGCCGCGGUAAUACGGAGGGUGCGAGCGUUAAUCGGAAUUACUGGGCGUAAAGCGUGCGUAGGCGGUUCGUUAAGUCAGAUGUGAAAGCCCUGGGCUCAACCUGGGAACUGCAUUUGAAACUGGCGGACUAGAGUUUAGUAGAGGGGAGUGGAAUUUCAGGUGUAGCGGUGAAAUGCGUAGAUAUCUGAAGGAACACCAGUGGCGAGGGCGACUCCCUGGACUAGAACUGACGCUGAGUACGAAA